Molecule: ribosomal RNA, 253 nt
Filed under: uncultured bacterium
Lineage: Bacteria
Description: partial 16S ribosomal RNA
Rfam family: Bacterial small subunit ribosomal RNA
Source: RNAcentral
UACGGAGGAUGCAAGCGUUAUCCGGAAUGAUUGGGCGUAAAGCGUCCGCAGGUGGCUGUGUAAGUCUGCUGUUAAAGAGUGAGGCUCAACCUCAUAAAAGCAGUGGAAACUACACGGCUAGAGUGCGUUCGGGGCAGAGGGAAUUCCUGGUGUAGCGGUGAAAUGCGUAGAGAUCAGGAAGAACACCGGUGGCGAAAGCGCUCUGCUAGGCCGCAACUGACACUGAGGGACGAAAGCUAGGGGAGCGAAUGGG